This is a long non-coding RNA of Centrocercus urophasianus (Greater sage-grouse), 861 nucleotides long. RefSeq lists it as uncharacterized. The transcript is spliced from 3 exons. The record is from RefSeq and is a predicted model, not a curated record. NCBI's taxonomy places the organism in Eukaryota, Metazoa, Chordata, Aves, Galliformes, Phasianidae.
CGUGCCCUCAGAAGUACAAGAAAGAGCAUUCGUCUGUGGCUGCAUUUAGCCCGAGGCUGAAGUCUCAUGAGAAAGCGUGUACUCUCUCCAGCCCAGGAAAGAAGGCAAGGACGUUAGGAAAAUCAGAGCGAUUGCAGAGCACAGAAAGCCUGCGUCAGCUGCGUACAAAGAGCACAUUUCCCAACCCAAGCCACUGGAGCUAUGAAAUGGUCUCUGUCACUGACUGGGAAACUACCAGGAUGGCCAAGAGAAAAGCAGUGUAAACUGUACUGAGAAACAAUACUGCAGAGCUUUGGGACUGGCUCCCCAGAUGGAAUUAAAGAAAAUGGUCUUGAUAAUCUUUUAAGGGCUGUUGCAUAUAUAGCUACCAGCAGUGAAUGCUGCUUGCAGCUUUCCUCCUCAUCUCUUCACCAUCCACCACGCAGAAGCCAGAAGUCACCUGCCGCAGGAGAGCUACAGAACAUCUCUUCAGCCAAACUGCCUGAUUGUUUCUGAUUCCACGGCUUAAGCAAGCUACACAGACAUUUUCCUUUUGUCACAAUCCAGUCAUAUCCAAAAGAUGAAAAAUAGAGAGAUUUCAUAAGGCUACUUGGCUUUUACAGCUGUUUUUUUUGUAUGAAACAGACAUCGGGUGUUAUUUCUAUAGCUCAAGUACUGCAGUAAAUCUAAAAAUGAAAGCGGUUUUGUUUUCUUACUUUUUAAGAAAUGCUUCUCCCAUGUGUUUCUGAGAGGGUUUCUGAGGCACUCUACAGUCUUUCUGUCUCACCACAACAGUGCAGUUCAGAAAAAUACUUGAGCAAAAGCACACUUAAGACUCCAUUUAUUCCUACCCAGUGUAAAGGAUUUUGAAUCAAGAGGAAC